AUACGGAGGGUGCAAGCGUUAAUCGGAAUUACUGGGCGUAAAGCGCGCGUAGGCGGUUUAGUAAGUCGGAUGUGAAAGCCCUGGGCUCAACCUGGGAAUGGCAUUCGAUACUGCAGAGCUAGAGUAUGGUAGAGGGAAGUGGAAUUUCCGGUGUAGCGGUGAAAUGCGUAGAUAUCGGAAGGAACACCAGUGGCGAAGGCGACUUCCUGGGCCAAUACUGACGCUGAGGUGCGAAAGCGUGGGGAGCAAACAGGAUUAGAUACCCCAGUAGUCC
RNAcentral lists this ribosomal RNA (274 nucleotides) under uncultured bacterium. Its description in RNAcentral is "partial 16S ribosomal RNA". It matches the Rfam family "Bacterial small subunit ribosomal RNA", at positions 523 to 796 of the family's 1533-position model. The record is from RNAcentral.